RNAcentral lists this ribosomal RNA (466 nucleotides) under uncultured bacterium. Its description in RNAcentral is "partial 16S ribosomal RNA". It matches the Rfam family "Bacterial small subunit ribosomal RNA", at positions 29 to 506 of the family's 1533-position model. The record is from RNAcentral.
ACGAACGCUGGCGGCGUGCUUAACCCAUGCCAGUCGAACGGAAAGGCCCUGCUUUUGUGGGGUGCUCGAGUGGCGAACGGGUGAGUAACACGUGAGUAACCUGCCCUUGACUUUGGGAUAACUUCAGGAAACUGGGGCUAAUACCGGAUAGGAGCUCCUGCUGCAUGGUGGGGGUUGGAAAGUUUCGGCGGUUGGGGAUGGACUCGCGGCUUAUCAGCUUGUUGGUGGGGUAGUGGCUUACCAAGGCUUUGACGGGUAGCCGGCCUGAGAGGGUGACCGGCCACAUUGGGACUGAGAUACGGCCCAGACUCCUACGGGAGGCAGCAGUGGGGAAUAUUGCACAAUGGGCGGAAGCCUGAUGCAGCAACGCCGCGUGCGGGAUGACGGCCUUCGGGUCGUAAACCGCUUUCGCCUGUGACGAAGCGUGAGUGACGGUAAUGGGUAAAGAAGCACCGGCUAACUACGU